GGGGGUUUAGCUCAGUGGUAGAGCGCUUGCCUUGCAAGUGCAAGGCCCUGGGUUCGGUCCCCAGCUCCG
Molecule: non-coding RNA, 69 nt
Organism: Rattus norvegicus (Norway rat)
Lineage: Eukaryota; Metazoa; Chordata; Mammalia; Rodentia; Muridae
Source: Rfam